GCCUAUAGCGACAGUUACGGCAGAGUCUAUGCGGCCACUGACCCCUACCACCACACCAUCGGCCCCCCGGCGACCUACAGCAUCGGAACCAUGGCUAGCCUCUGCCGAGGAGGGUGCAGCCGCUUCACCCCCUACUAGCAAGAGGGCCAGCCCCUAGCAGCAUUCACACUGACUGCCCAGUACACACCACACCCAGCAGCCCAAAACCAGGCACAGCCACCGGGAGGACAGUGCGCCUCCCAGGCAGCGGCACGCGACGCUAAAGUCCAUAGGUUUACCUCCAGCCAGCCGGUGCCCCUGCCCCUCACCAUGGCGUGUGUGUCUUUGACCUUGGUUACCCCUGUAUGUCUGAAACCUUGCUUCCUAUUUUGACUAUGUUGACGUUGUGACCCCCCCAAGCCAUUUCAGGUACAGUAUGCACAUAGCGGGAGGGGCCAGGCUGGGGACGAGGACCCGCACCCCCAGCCCCAGAACUAGCAAUAGAGCCCGCCAGGGCGACACCCACUUCCCAUCAUCCCCUGGGUCUGCAGAGCCAAGGAGACCGCCCCCAGCCUGCCGGGACCCCUCUUCUGGGGUUCAGGGAGGGAGGAAGCGCUCCCGUCC
Suricata suricatta (meerkat) is the source of this 603-nucleotide long non-coding RNA. RefSeq lists it as uncharacterized. The transcript has 3 exons. The record is from RefSeq and is a predicted model, not a curated record. NCBI's taxonomy places the organism in Eukaryota, Metazoa, Chordata, Mammalia, Carnivora, Herpestidae.